GCCUGGGUGGCUCAGCCGGUUAAGCAUCUGACUUCGGCUCAGGUCAUGAUCUCGCGGUUUGUGGGUUCGAGCCCCGCGUCGGGCU
RNAcentral lists this transfer RNA (85 nucleotides) under Felis catus (domestic cat). It matches the Rfam family "tRNA". From Rfam's summary of the family: Transfer RNA (tRNA) molecules are approximately 80 nucleotides in length. Their secondary structure includes four short double-helical elements and three loops (D, anti-codon, and T loops). The record is from Rfam by way of RNAcentral. Lineage: Eukaryota; Metazoa; Chordata; Mammalia; Carnivora; Felidae.